RNAcentral lists this ribosomal RNA (253 nucleotides) under uncultured prokaryote. Its description in RNAcentral is "partial 16S ribosomal RNA". It matches the Rfam family "Bacterial small subunit ribosomal RNA", at positions 525 to 777 of the family's 1533-position model. The record is from RNAcentral.
ACAGAGGUGGCAAGCGUUGUUCGGAAUUGCUGGGCGUAAAGAGCGUGUAGGCGGCCUGGCAAGUCCGCUGUGAAAACUCGGGGCUUAACCUCGAGACGUCGGUGGAAACUGCCUGGCUAGAGUCCGGAAGAGGAGAGUGGAAUUCCUGGUGUAGCGGUGAAAUGCGCAGAUAUCAGGAAGAACACCCGUGGCUAAGGCGGCUCUCUAGUACGGUACUGACGCUGAGACGCGAAAGCGUGGGGAGCGAACAGGA